RNAcentral lists this ribosomal RNA (254 nucleotides) under Salmonella enterica subsp. enterica serovar Anatum. Its description in RNAcentral is "partial 23S ribosomal RNA". It matches the Rfam family "Bacterial large subunit ribosomal RNA", at positions 1 to 240 of the family's 2925-position model. The record is from RNAcentral. Lineage: Bacteria; Pseudomonadati; Pseudomonadota; Gammaproteobacteria; Enterobacterales; Enterobacteriaceae.
AAGCGACUAAGCGUACACGGUGGAUGCCCUGGCAGUCAGAGGCGAUGAAGGGCGUGCUAAUCUGCGAUAAGCGCCGGUAAGGUGAUAUGAACCGUUAUAACCGGCGAUACCCGAAUGGGGAAACCCACCCAGUGUGUGACGGCAUAAAAAUGCGCCAGCAAUGCCUUAUUGAGCGCUUUUACCGCUUGCGGAUUAGCAAAAUCAACGCUCUGUUCACCGGCGGGCGUGCGGAUAAGAAAGGACGUCAAUUCCGG